Molecule: ribosomal RNA, 468 nt
Filed under: uncultured bacterium
Lineage: Bacteria
Description: partial 16S ribosomal RNA
Rfam family: Bacterial small subunit ribosomal RNA
Source: RNAcentral
GACGAACGCUGGCGGCGUGCUUAACACAUGCAAGUCGAACGGAAAGGCCCUGCUUUUGUGGGGUGCUCGAGUGGCGAACGGGUGAGUAACACGUGAGUAACCUGCCCUUGACUUUGGGAUAACUUCAGGAAACUGGGGCUAAUACCGGAUAGGAGCUCCUGCUGCAUGGUGGGGGUUGGAAAGUUUCGGCGGUUGGGGAUGGACUCGCGGCUUAUCAGCUUGUUGGUGGGGUAGUGGCUUAUCAAGGCUUUGACGGGUAGCCGGCCUGAGAGGGUGACCGGCCACAUUGGGACUGAGAUACGGCCCAGAGUCCUACGGGAGGCAGCAGUGGGGAAUAUUGCACAAUGGGCGGAAGCCUGAUGCAGCAACGCCGCGUGCGGGAUGACGGCCUUCGGGUUGUAAACCGCUUUCGCCUGUGACGAAGCGUGAGUGACGGUAAUGGGUAAAGAAGCACCGGCUAACUACGUG